CCUACGGGCGGCAGCAGUCGAGAAUCAUUCACAAUGGGGGAAACCCUGAUGGUGCGACGCCGCGUGGGGGAAUGAAGGUCUUCGGAUUGUAAACCCCUGUCAUGUGGGAGCAAAUUAAAAAGAUAGUACCACAAGAGGAAGAGACGGCUAACUCUGUGCCAGCAGCCGCGGUAAUACAGAGGUCUCAAGCGUUGUUCGGAAUCACUGGGCGUAAAGCGUUCGUAGGCUGUUUCGUAAGUCGUGUGUGAAAGGCGCGGGCUCAACCCGCGGACGGCACAUGAUACUGCGAGACUAGAGUAAGGGAGGGGGAACCGGAAUUCUCGGUGUAGCAGUGAAAUGCGUAGAUAUCGAGAGGAACACUCGUGGCGAAGGCGGGUUCCUGGACAUUAACUGACGCUGAGGCACGAAGGCCAGGGGAGCGAAAGGGAUUAGAUACCCUUGUAGUC
RNAcentral lists this ribosomal RNA (446 nucleotides) under uncultured bacterium. RNAcentral describes it as "partial 16S ribosomal RNA". It matches the Rfam family "Bacterial small subunit ribosomal RNA", at positions 338 to 795 of the family's 1533-position model. The record is from RNAcentral.